Molecule: non-coding RNA, 460 nt
Filed under: Gorilla gorilla gorilla (western lowland gorilla)
Lineage: Eukaryota; Metazoa; Chordata; Mammalia; Primates; Hominidae
Source: Rfam by way of RNAcentral
GAACACUACAAGCAAUAGCUUAAAACUCAAAGGACUUGGCGGUGCUUUAUAUCCCUCUAGAGGAGCCUGUUCUAUAAUGGAUAAAACCCAAUUUACCUCACCACUUCUUGCUCAGCCUAUAUACCACCAUCUUCAGCAAACCCUAGUAAAGGCUGCAAAGUAAGCACAAGUAUCUACAUAAAAAUGUUAGGUCAAGGUGUAGCCCAUGGUGGUAAGAAAUGGGCUAAAUUUUCUACACCCAGAAAAUCUCACGACAACCCUUAUGAAAUCUAAGGGCUCAGGGAGGAUUUAGCAGUACAUUAAGAGCAGAGUGCUUAAUUGAAUGAGACCAUAAAGCACACACACACUGCCUGUCACCCUCCUCAAAUAUUACUUUAGAGAUUAGUUUAACUAAAACCCCUACUUAUUUAUAUAGAGGAGACAAGUCGUAACAUGGUAAGUGUACUGGAAAGUGCACUUG